Molecule: long non-coding RNA, 19174 nt
Filed under: Coffea arabica (coffee)
Lineage: Eukaryota; Viridiplantae; Streptophyta; Magnoliopsida; Gentianales; Rubiaceae
Description: long non-coding RNA (CARA_LNC000393)
Source: RNAcentral
UUACCUUCAUUGCCUUCCUUGCCAUUGUGAGGCUUUGCGUCAUGUAUGUGGGGCCUACACUGAUCGAUCGGUUUAUUGAUUAUACAUCUGGGAAGAGGACCUCAAGUUAUGAAGGAUACUACCUUGUAGUUGUUCUCUUGAUAGCCAAGUUUGUGGAAGUUCUGAGCUCACAUCAGUUCAAUUUUAACUCCCAGAAACUUGGGAUGAUGAUACGCUCCACACUGAUUACUUCAUUGUACAAAAAGGGUUUAAGACUUUCAUGCUCAGCAAGACAAGCUCAUGGUGUUGGACAGAUUGUAAACUACAUGGCCGUGGAUGCGCAACAGCUUUCUGAUAUGAUGCCACAACUGCAUGCCUUAUGGUUGAUGCCAUUGCAAGUUACCGUUGCCUUAAGUAUCCUCUAUACUUACCUAGGCAUUUCGACCAUUGUAGCGUUACUUGGACUUGUAUCCAUUAUGGUGUUUGUGGCGUUUGGGACUCGAAGGAAUAACCGGUUCCAGUUCAAUAUCAUGAAAGAUAGGGACUCCAGAAUGAAAGCAACAAAUGAGAUGCUUAACUACAUGAGGGUAAUCAAAUUUCAGGCUUGGGAAGAACAUUUCAACAAAAGAAUUCAAUCUUUCCGUGAAUCAGAGUUUGCAUGGCUAACCAAAUUCUUGUACUCGUUUUGUGCAAAUAUUAUUGUGCUCUGGAGCACACCGGUAUUUAUAGCUACAUUGACAUUUGGAAGUGCGAUCCUGCUGGGCGUUCCGCUUGAUGCAGGAACAGUCUUCACUGCUAUCUCACUUUUUAAAAUGUUGCAAGAACCUAUUAGGACCUUCCCACAGUCUAUGAUUUCACUCUCACAGGCAAUGAUAUCACUGGAUAGGUUGGAUAGGUACAUGAUGAGUAAGGAACUGAUGGAUGAUUCAGUGGAGAGGGUAGAAGGUUGUGGAAGUGAGAUUGCUGUGGAGGUGGAAGAUGGGGCUUUUAAUUGGGAUGAAGAAAGCAGGGAAGAAGUGGUAAACGAUUUGAAUUUUAUGAUCAGAAAAGGCGAGCUUGCAGCGAUUGUUGGGACUGUAGGAUCAGGGAAGUCUUCACUUCUGGCAUCAAUUCUUGGCGAGAUGGAUAAAAUAUCAGGAAAGGUACAUAUUAAAUAUUUUUCAGGGCCUUAUCCCUCUAUCAAAUUGAUUACUUCACAUUUGUCACUGGAAAAGUACUCUUUUUUUUUUUUUAUUGUGCCUUGUGUAUUUAUUUGUCAUUGAAGUAUUGCAACUUUCUGUUCAUUGUAUGGUUCGUAAUCUGAUUGUUGCCUUACACGUAAUUUGUCCAAGUAAUAGACUAUUCGGGGAUUUCACAGAUCCUCUUCUUCUCCGCGUCACAGAUUCUCAUUUUGCUGAUACGUUUUAAAUGUCGUAUUGUGUUAUUCAGCAGACAGCAUGAGCACAAAGUGUUUAUCUUUUGGUAUACAUGAGCACAGUGAUUUGUUUUCUCUGGAUGUCUUGCUUGUGCAUCAGAGCUUGGUAACUGGAAGAUUUUGCCUUUUGCUACUUGUGGCCGACAGACCUAAGUUUGCCCAGUUGUUGGCUCAAGUAAUUGGACACAUUAUGUCUAUUAUUGAAAACCACAUAUAUUGUAAUUUUUCUCUGAAAAAUUGGUUCAAUUUCAACUUCCAAAGAUGUGGGUCCAAAUGAUUCAACCAUCAAACUCUAACCAGAUUACCUCUGAAACAUCGACCAAAUCUUCACAUAAACUUCUUGGGUUGGGGUGCAUAUUUGUCCUCGUUAUUCGACUCUUUGGGGGUUAUGAUUUACAUAUUGAAUGAUGGGCUAUUUGUCAUUUUCCAAACCCUAAAGUUCUUAUCCUUGGGAACACCUUUUAGUAUCAUUGGUCAACUACUUCUUAAUAGGGGCAGCCCAUUAUAUUCUUCUUUGUUGGCCACAAGUUGGUUGUGAGGAAAAGCUUCCUGAGUGUCAUGCAGGAAAGCUUCUUAUUUUAUAAUGCUAACACAUUUCAUUACAAGCUUACCAACUAUUUGUUGCUGCAGCUCAGGGUUUGUGGUACCACAGCUUUUGUUGCACAAACCUCAUGGAUUCAGAAUGGGACAAUUGAAGAAAAUAUCCUUUUUGGUCUGUCAAUGAACCACGAGAGAUAUAAGGAAGUUCUUAGGGUUUGUUGUUUGGAGAAGGACUUGGAUAUGAUGGAGUUUGGAGAUCAGACUGAAAUUGGAGAGCGUGGCAUCAAUCUAAGUGGUGGGCAAAAGCAGCGAAUUCAACUUGCCAGGGCUGUUUACCAAGAUUGUGAUAUCUAUCUACUUGAUGAUGUGUUUAGUGCAGUUGAUGCUCAAACUGGUUCUGAAAUAUUCAAGGUGAUAAGAGUUUUGAAAUGAUUUUCAAAAUGGUUGUGAUAUCUAUAUCUUGAAAGUAUUUAAUGCUGUUUUAAGAUGUCCUAUUUCUCCAAUUAUUUGCAAAAUUAGAUGUGACCUGACGUUUGUAGUAGCUACAGUCACUGACAUAAUUUUCUCAGUUUGGUCCUCUUCUUCUCCAUUUUCUUGUUAUUACUGUUAAAUGAGAACCAGAACACAAGCCUGCUACUUGCGAAUGCCCAUUUGUUAAUGAUGUAUGAUGCGUUUGUUGACAUUUUAUGUUGAUCCCUUGGCUUCAUUCCUUGUAGGCUCCAAUUAACAUGAUUAUUAAGCUUUGAGUGACAUGCUUGUUAGUUGAUACAUAUUGUUCUGCAUUGACAUUGUGAUUCGUCUUUUUAGUUUCAAUUGAAGUUGUGAUAUUCCAGUAGCCCUAGUUGUUAGUUUAUCAGUUAUUAAAUGCUGUUUGACACUUUCCAGUCUCUCUUGCAGGAAUGUGUUAGAGGAACCCUUAGAGAGAAGACCAUUUUGCUUGUUACACACCAAGUUGACUUCUUACACAAUGUUGAUCUGAUCCUAGUAUGUCCUAUGCUCAUUUAUCCUCCUCCUUUCCUAGGUUUUAUCCUCCUCCUCUGGCAUCAUAGACUUGACCUCUUAAUAUUGAAACCAGGUUAUGCGAGAUGGCAUGAUUGCUGAAUCUGGAAAUUACAAUGAUCUACUUGAAUCUGGGAAGGAUUUCAAAUCUUUGGUGGCUGCGCAUGAGUCAUCUAUGGAACUUGUUGAGGCAGAAAGCUCCAAGCGCAGGAAAACUUCAGUUGAUCAACCAACAUCUCCUCAAGCAUCUUUUAGUCCUACACAAGAAAACGAUGACAUGAAAUCUCAAGAACAGACCCAAUCUGAUCGGGGAAAUUCUAAACUUAUCAAGGAAGAGGAGAGAGAAACUGGGAAAGUCAGCUUACAUGUUUAUAAACUAUACUGCACUGAAUCUUUAGGGUGGUGGGGUGUGAUUGUGGUGUUGCUGAUUUCUGUGUUGUGGCAAGGGUCAUUAAUGGCGGGUGACUACUGGUUGGCUUAUGAAACAUCAGGAAAGCGUGCUAUGUCAUUCAAUCCUUCUGUUUUUAUUGGGAUAUAUGCUAUUAUAGCAGCUGGUUCCUUUGUGCUGAUAUUGAUAAGAAUUUUUUUACUUACAUUCAUGGGGCUUAAGACAUCCCAAAUAUUCUUCAAAGGAAUUCUUCACAGCAUAUUGCACGCUCCAAUGUCAUUUUUUGAUACUACACCUUCUGGAAGAAUUUUAAGCCGGGUAACGUUUUCUACACUUUCGGGUUGGGUUGUCCAUUUUGGUGCCAAGCUGGAAAAAAUAAAAUCAUGUCCAUAUGUACAUUUAGCUACAUUAGAUUACAUGGGGAAAAAACUAGAUUACAUAAAAGAAAUGUUCAAAGUAACUGAACAUGUUUCAAUUACUGGAUUCAUUGAUAUGUUGUUUCAUAAAAUUUUGCAGGCGUCAAAUGAUCAGACUAAUAUUGAUGUAGUUGUCCCACUUUUUACAAACUAUUUCAUUUCCAUGUACAUCACACUAUUUGGGAUCAUCAUCAUCAUAUGUCAAAAUGCUUGGCCAACCGUCUUACUAUUGAUUCCACUUGGCUGGCUGAAUUACUGGUUUCGGGUAUGUGCAUCAUUUAUGGAGCUUAAAGGUUAAAUUGUUUCAGUGUAACUAAGACUUUUAACCAUUCUUUGGCAAGAGAUAGAUAAUCAGUGCUAAGACUAAGUUAUUCCUCAUUUGGGUUGCAGGGGUACUAUCUUGCAACAUCACGUGAAUUGACUCGGCUAGACUCUAUUACAAAAGCACCAGUUAUCCAUCACUUCUCGGAAAGUAUAUCUGGAAUUACGACAAUCCGUUGUUUCAGGAAGCAGGAAAGGUUUUGCCAGGAAAACGUUAACCGUGUGAAUUCGAACCUGCGUAUGGACUUCCACAACUACGGGUGCAAUGAAUGGUUGGGUUUUCGUUUGGAACUCAUGGGGAGCUUCAUCCUUUGCAUUUCUGCAUUGUUUAUGAUCAUGUUGCCGAGCACUAUCCUCAAGCCAGGUGUAUAAUCUACUUAAAUCCUUAUUAAUGACAAAGUACUAGUUUUUUUUGGUUAUAUUGAUAUAAAGGCAUGACUCCCGAUUUAUCAGUUGGUGGUAUUAUUACCUGGGAAAAUAAGGUUGUUAAUAGGUUAAAACUGAAGACAUAGUUUUCAUCUUUCUUGACGAAAUAGACUCGUAACUGGUCAACCGGAUUAUUAAACCUUUGAAAUAUCAUAAUAUCUAGUAUAAUCAACCUCUUUUUCUUUUCUGUCAUUUUAAUGGGGUUUCUCAAGUUUAUUAGUAAAGGAAUUUUCAAAGAUCAGGUUACAGAAUUAAUUACUUCAUAUAAUUCUCAGUUGAUUCCUGUUAUCAUUUGCUGCCUACAAAGUUUAUAAAUGGAUGAUACAACUGGAAAAAAUAAUGUCCCUUCCAGUCAUCAUUCUCCUUUGUCCUUGCUACUGCAAUUAGCUUUUGCAAUAGAGAUGUUACUGAUCUACACUUCGCUGCUCAGAGAACGUGGGGUUAUCUCUCUCUUAUGGAUUGUCCCUCAACAGUGUGCUUUUCUGGGCAAUAUAUGUCAGUUGUUCUUUGGAAAAUAAAAUGGUUUCAGUUGAGAGGAUAAAACAAUUUACAAAUAUACCAUCAGAAGCAGACUGGAAGAAAGAAGAUUGCCUUCCUUCUCCCGAGUGGCCAAACAAGGGCAAUGUUGAGCUCAUAGACUUACAGGUAGCUCAAUCUGCAUUUCUUCAAGUUUGUAUGAUGAAUAGCUGCUUCAUUAAUAUGGUAUUCUGUAAGUUUCCAGAGAUUCAUUUGUAUGUAUUCUGAACAGGUAAGAUAUCGUCCCAAUACCCCUCUGGUUAUCAAAGGAAUAACACUCAGCAUAAAAGGGGGUGAGAAGAUUGGUGUUGUUGGUCGAACUGGGGGUGGAAAAUCAACUUUGAUCCAGGUUUUCUUUAGGUUGGUGGAGCCUUCGGGAGGAAGAAUCAUUAUUGAUGGCAUUGACAUUAGCACUCUUGGGCUGCAUGAUCUUAGGUCUCGAUUUGGAAUCAUCCCUCAAGAACCUGUUCUUUUUGAAGGAACUGUGAGAAGCAACAUUGAUCCAAUUGGACAGUAUUCUGAUGAAGAGAUAUGGAAGGUAAAAAGAACUAUUACUGUUAGUAGUUGAGUUUGGACCUCAAGCUAAAUAGAUUUCGCCCAGCAUGUGCCAUGGUUUUAACAUUUUCUAGUAUGCAGCAUCUGUCGACUGUGGUUACUUCACUUUUCUAAUGUGUGAAUUUGUGAUUCUGUUCCAUACAUAGAAACCAUGCUUGCCGAGAUAGGUUGUAGCGACUUAGUCCUUCUGUUUUUCUAUAGUUAAUACUCACGGAUCCGUGAACUUAUGAACCACAGAGCCUUGAGCGCUGCCAGCUUAAGGAGGUAGUAGCUGCAAAGCCCGAUAAGCUGGACUCUUUAGGUACUGUAGCAUAAAUCUGAUCAGUUGCUUCUAUUUUGUUCUCAGUUGCUGUUAUUAGUUAUCAAUGCUACAGCUGAAAGAGUACGAAUUUUCACUGGUUAAUGUUUUUAGUUGUUGAUAAUGGAGAAAAUUGGAGUGUCGGGCAGAGACAGCUUCUCUGUUUGGGACGUGUAAUGCUAAAACGCAGCAAACUUUUAUUUAUGGAUGAGGCGACUGCCUCAGUUGAUUCACAAACAGAUGGCGUGAUCCAGAAGAUCAUCAGGGAGGACUUCUCUUCCCGUACAAUUGUAAGCAUUGCCCAUAGAAUUCCAACAGUUAUGGACUGUGACAGAGUUCUUGUAAUUGAUGCAGGUUUGUGCCUCUCCCACCCCUUAGUUCAGCCAUGGUUCAUCACAUGCUUCAUCUUUGUUUUCAUUUAUUUUUCGUUUCUUAUUUCUUGAGCAAAUAAUUCCUCUGGGAACAAGUAGACUGUCAAAAUGUCGCCAUUUUGGCCUGCCUUUGGUCUGUUCCCGAUUGCAUGCUGCAGAUUACCUAAAUUAAUCAUGUCCUUUUUUCCUAUGAUUCUGUUGCGCUCCGACUUUGCCUGAUCUGGGUUUAUUCUUCAUGAUUGCACCUAAUGGGGAUUUCCUGCUUUCACCAAAGCUCGGUGAAAUGAUUCUUAUUGUUUUUCUUUUUGGGCAUUGAACAGGUAAAGCAAAAGAAUUUGACAAGCCAUCGAGUUUGCUGGAGAAGCCUUCUCUCUUUGGAGCAUUGGUUGAGGAGUAUGCCAACCGAUCUUCUGAACUCUAGCUCUGAUCCUAGCAUUCUUGGAAUGGGCUGAAGAUUGAUUCUUGUUGGUUGAAUUAUAUUUUCCACAACUUCGGCUUGUUUGACACCUGAGUUUUUUGAAAAUUUAUCUAAAAUUUUACUGUAGAUCACCGUAAAAGUUGUAAAAAAACUUUUGGAAGAUGAAAUUUUUUUUUUUUUCAUUUUCUUUCUUUCUUUUUUCUUUUUUUUUUCUUUUCUUUCCUCCCUUCCAUUUCCCCCUCCCCUGUACCCUUUCCCAAAAUUGCUGAAGCAGCAAAAGAAAACUUUUUUUUUUUUUGCAUUUUUUUCCAUUACCCUCCUCUCCCUCUCCCUCUUCCCCUCUUCUCCCUCUUUUGGCUUGCCGCUAUACUAAAAUCUUGUGAACAAGACUACAUAAACUUGUUUGUUUGUGGUCCUCACUUCGACAAUUAUGCAUUCGUAUGGUUCAAACCUUGGGAAGGAAAACCAGACAAAUCAAUUGCAAUCCUAUAUGUAAGCAGAUUAUUAAUCACAAUUCACAAGCACUAGAAAUCAGUAUGUGAAAACAAUCGCAGAUUGGCGGCGCUCGAUGUUGACUACAUAUUCGUUCACUUGUAGACUUUCUGGUAGACUUGUAGAAUCCAUUGAGCAGGACGCAUAUUCGUUCACUUGAUGUUAAGUCUAUGGAACAGAUGAAUAAGUGUUUUAGUGAAGCAUUUUCAAUAGAUUCCAGCCUGUUGACUACAUGACCAAAAGCAGGACAGAUUGGUAGGAAGGACUUGAAAGUGAAGACUUCCAAGUAUUUACCUCUCUGCAAAGGGGGCACUUUUCCUUGGGACUAGCUGCCUUCAAUCCAUCCACUAUGGUCACUGAUCCUGCCUUGCAAGCACGCAUGUAGCAGAAUAUAUGACCGCAAGUCAAAGACACUGGAUCAAAAGCUGUAUCCUGUUGGAGGAGAGCAGCUAAUAAAAAGCUCAACAUUAUGAAAAGAGCAGCAGCUAAUCUGAUAUGAUGAAUUUUACAAUAUUGAUAGGACUUAAGGUAGAGUUUCUUCAUAAGAAUUAUCAGCAAGAAUCAAAUGUCAAUAAGAAAAAGCAUAACGAUAGUUACUCGUGUUAAUGAAAUAGCUGGCACGCUUAUAUGAGCUAAUAAAGAAACUAACCAAGCACAUCGAACAAGUCAAGUCCAGUUCAAGCUUGACUGAAUCACAAGAAAGAGAAGGCUUUUCAUCUUUGAAUAUGAGGGAACAGCCGUUGAACAAUGCAGGAAGCAUUCCUUGUAUUGGCCUUGAGCUCACAUACCCAUGGUGAUUGGAGAAUCUCCAGGUUCCGUUCCUACGGUGCGCUUGAGACUUGAAUGCUUGGCCUUGCUUGGAGCAGUGUAUCUGUAGAAAAAAUCAACAACCUGUAAGGCAAUAAUUUACAAAAAACAAAUCAAAAUACAAAAUUAAAUUACAAAUAAUUUGCAGUAGUCAAUCUAAAAAAUCAUUACUAAAUUAUUAAUUUGAUAAAAUAAUGUAUUUAGAAAUAUUUAUAUUUUAUAAUUAUUAAUAUACUAUUCGAGCCCGAAUCAGAGUUCUAUAUUUCGUAUCCGAUCUGUUUUUUUUUUUUUUUUUUAUUAAAGUAAACGGGCACGAGUCCUGAUUCGAGUAUCGAAAUUAUUUUUUAAUCCAAAUUCGAAAAAAAAUUAUUGAAUCCAGAUUGGAUCCAAGUUGGGUUAUAAAUAAAUAAAAAAGGAUGAUUGAAAUUUUGACACUUCUCAAACGUAGAUUGAUCCAAGCUGGGCUUUGCGAGCUGGCCAAUUCGCAUUGAGGUUGGAGGUGCAUUUUUAUUUUUCCCUUUUUUUUACCGAGAUUACGAGAAUUGAAGAGCUAAAUAUAUUUACUUUGAGGAUCAAUCACAGAGCGUUUGGUAGUGGAAUCGAGAAUUUGAGGCAACAUGAGAGAGUUAAUAAUAGACGCUUGAAAUAAGCAAGGAUGGAUGGGAUGGUUGCACAUUUUUCAAGAUCAAAAGAUUAACACGAAUAAGAGCAAUUCAACAAAAAUAUCAUCAUUUCAUAGACGCCUUUGAUAUUUUGUCACGUAGCUUGUAUUGACGCUUUGAUAUUACUUACAAUCAUCAAGGGGAUUAUGAAGUGAAAUAAUGCUAACACGCAUAGGGCUUUAAGGUAGUUUACUCUUAAAUGUUGGUUUUAUAUCACGUUAAACUAGUUUUAUUCAGAAUUACUAAUUACGUAGGAGUGAAGUUUCUCCAUCUCCAACUCUCUCCUAUUCUAUUGCAAGAUAUGCGUAUUUUUUCUCGUACAAUUUCUUGAACAUUUGAAUUUAUGUUUGUUUGCACACCUAAUAUUUUGUGAAAAAUUAUUUUUCUUGCAAUAUAGAUAUAUUGUUUUAAUCACCUUUUUAUAUUUCAACCAUCUUUCACAUACAUUAUAUUACAAAAAACUGAUAUAAUAUUUUUUUCGAUAAAAUUUUCAAAUAAUCUUCUGUUCAAAGAUGCUGAAUAAAAUUUUCAAAUAAUCUUCUAUUCAAAGACGCUUAAUCCUCAAAUUUUAAGGUACAAAUUGAUCCAUACAGUUUAAAAAAACAAAGCUUUUUAAAAUUUUUCUAAAUCCUCAAAUACACAAAAGUUUUUUCACAAAAUUUUUUUAAAAAAUACGCCUUCCAAAUGACCCCAAAAUUUGGGUCAAGUUUGCGUCUCAUCCAACACAAGAUUCAUGCGCGGAAAACUGAAAAGUAAACAACGUACGUCUUGGAAAAUCAAUCACGAGAUUCGUAUCUAUAGAAAGUAAACAAAGCAGGUUUUGGAAAAUUGAUCAAGAGAUGCAUUUGGUGAUGGGUUACCAUCAGGACAUCUUCUCAUUAACAGCAACAAAAUUACUUUUUUCAACUCCAGUAAUGGCUUUUGUUGAAAUAAUUAACCCUAAUCCCAAAUUAACCUCUAAAAACCGGCAACUCUUGAAGGUAAUCCAGGGGCUUAACUACCCAACCCAAACCCCUCCCAGAACCGAUGUGAAAAUGGAGAGUGAAAAUGGAUGCUGAAUUAGUGUACCUGUGUCUACUGUCUCCUAUGUAAAACCGCUCGUUUGAGAUAAUCAACAGUUGGUAUAUAAUUACUUUAAUUUGAAGUUAAACCGAUACUCAACUAUAGUAUUAAUUGAUACGCAGCACAAGGUAUCUCAGGUUUACCCUAAUUACUAUGUGACAAUGUUACAUUUUGACACAAAAAAAAAAAAAAAAAAAACUAUGUGACAAUGUUUGAAGCACCAAGUACAGGAAUGUCAAUGGGUUGGAUUCGGAUGAGAAUUGAAAUUUUUGGAUCCAAUCCCAUCUUUAUGUGGUAGACCUAUAUUCGAUUCGUAUAUUCGACGGGUCUUGACUUUAGAGGUUUAGAAUCGGAUCCGACGAGUCUCAAAUUGGAUUUGAGUCUACUCGAAAAAAAAAAAGAUCCAAAAUAAAUCAAAAACCAAUCACAAAUCAAAUCUCCCAACUUAAAUAAAUCAAAUUACAAAAUUAAAUUACAAAUAACUCUCAAUAGUCAAUUUAAAACUAACCACAAAUCAAUCUACAGAAUCAUUACUAAAUUAUUAAUUUGGUAAAAGAAUGUAUUUAGAAAUAUUUAUAUUUUAUAAUUAUUAAUAUAUUGUUCGAGUUCGAGUUAGAAUCCUAUAUUCCGUAUUUGAUCUGUUUUUUUGUUAACGUAAACAGGUACGAGUUCGGGUUCAAGUAUCGAAAUUAUUUUUCAAUAUAAAUCCGAAAUAAAUUAUCGAGUCCGGAUUGAAUCCGAAACUAAACCCGACCCAUUGACACCCCUGACCAAGUGGUACCUGCCAACACACGCUGUACUCUCUGCAAGUAUUAUAAAACCCUCUCCAUGGUUGGAUGUUGAAAAAUCCAUGAAAGCGUUUAAAAAUCAACGAUGUGAUAAUAAUCAUAAAAAUUUCUUUGCUUUUAGUUUCAGUAAUAUAGGGGGUGGUGCCAAUGGGAGAGUCGUAGUUGGCGAAGAAGACCACAAAAGUUAGAAAAGCAGUCAAUUGAUUCCUGGAUUCUACUACAGCCGGUAACACUGACGAAAGGAAAGUAAUGGACAGGAGAAAACGAAAGUAGAAAAGUAAAAGCCGGACAUUAAACGAAAAGGAGCAAACGUCUGCGCUGUUUGGAGCCUUCAUGCAUGGGCGGGGGAGUAGCAUUCGGUGACCCCCCGAGUCCUCGUUUUGCACGCAUAGGAGUUAUGAACAAGCCAACAAUCUACUGUACGAUACUACCACAAAUUCCACAAGAUCAUAACAGUAGUAGUAGUAGACAUACCGUUGAGUCUUUCUUACAUGGAAAAUUCGCAUCAUAAUAGUAGUGUAUUAUCGACCCUGUAUGUUCUUGAGUUCUUCUUUUUUAUUUUUAUUUUUUGUAGUGUCCUUUUUAAAUUGUUUCCGAAUGGCAAAUUGUGUAGUAUUUGGGAAGAGUUUCUCUCGGCAAUGGUAAGUUACAAUUGUUAAAACAAUUUAUGGUGGUAGACUUUUCAUUGAAUAGUUGUGAUAGAAAAUAAGGCCUUGUUUAGAUAGCAAUUUUUCAAAUGCUACGUUUUUCUGAACACAUUUUUCAAUCAUCUUUUUACCUCACUUAUAUCAAAUCGCUAUAGUAUUUUUUCUACAAAAAAAAUUUAGAAAAAUACAAGCCAAGCAAAGCCUACAACUUGGUGAGGACACUUGUAAUGCAUUCUCGGAUGUGCAUAGCAGGGGAUGCAAAGAGAAAAAUUUGUCAAAUGGGUCCCUAACAUUUACACAAAAAUUUUUUAGUCCCUAACAUUUAAAAGCAGUUAGAAUAGUUUUUAACAUAUAAAUUAUUAUCCAUUUCGGUCCUAAUGCUCAUAUUUGCUCAUUUUUCCGACUAAAAAUAACACGCCUCUCUCACGUGAGCAUAUUUUCAAUGGCAAAACUAAAAAACAUUAUUGUUUUCAGUGUAAAUGUGAAAUUGAAGCUUCUGUUGUUGCUGCUUCAGCAUAUUUUUCUCAAAUUGAAAAGCACUCGUGUCAAUUUGAGGCUUGAUCACCCUAGCGGUGUGGCUGCUGCUGUUGAUCCCCUAAGAAACUACCAUCAUUAAACCCAAUGAGCUUGAUUUCAUCACUUUUCCGUUAAAGUUGUGUGAUUCGACCGUCAAGGAACCACCACCACCCUCUGUCUAGUAGGUUGUGCAGGAUGCGAAACUCGGGCAUCAAGAUUGUGGGUUUUGGUGGGCUGCAGAGAAGAAGAGAAAAGAGAUGACGUGGAAAAUGAUUUGGGUUGAGGAAGCGAAGCAAACAAAGAUGACGAUGGUUUUGGAAGCGAUGCCAAAAGUCUUGAACUUUCCAAAUUUUUUAGCAAUUGUUGCCCAUCACUCUCUUCUUGAAGUUCAUUAGAUUUAUGUGAAUUCAGGGUUGAGGAAGACGACAAGACGAGAGGCCUUGGGGGAUGGGAUUGGGGUGGGGGAAGUGGAACGGAGAUGGAUGAGGAAGAAGAAGAUGAUGAAGAUUUUGGGGUUGACAGUGAGAAAAGAAAUCCAGCGGAUCUGGGAUUUGAGAGCUGUGGUUUAUUUUCUUGUUCUUGAUCUCGUUCUUCGUCGGAAGAGGAGCAGCUCGCUAGCAAAAAGUCCAUGACCAGAAGCAAAAGGGGAGAAAAGCCCUAAUUUCAGAACAGGGAAAGAAAAAUAUGUGAAAAUGUUGUCCUUGGAAAGAGGAGAAAAGCUUGUAUUUAUCAGUUUUACCUUUGAAAAUAUGUCCAUGUGAGAGAGACGUGCUAUUUUUAGUUGGAGAAAUGAACAAAUACGAGCAUUAUAAAAAAAAUGGAUCAUAAUUUAUAUGUUAAGGACUAUUUUGGCUGAUUUUAAAUGUUAGGGAUUAAAAAAAAUUUUAUGUAAAUAUUAGGGACCAAUUUGACAAAUUUAUCUGGAGAGAAUUCACGGCUAUUUAUUCAUCACAGUAAUUUUUAUUAUUUUAAAUGGUGUUUGGAUUACAAUUUUUUAUUAAAUUUUUUUUAUAUUUUGUACGAGCAUAAAUUUUAAUUAUCUAUUUAAUUCACAUGUAUGAAAUCGUUAAUAUAGUAAAAUUUUCUAUAAAAUCUCAAAAAAAAAAAAGUAAUAUUAGCAUUAAACGCGUGGUGUUCGGUGCCACGGCCUAAGGCUAACUACCCAAGGUCAUCUUGUGGGCAUGGCUUUGCGGGUCAAAGAUUGCAAUCCACUUAAGAAAUGACGUGAGCUAUGACGACUACACUUUCAGCACAACACGAGGAACGGGCGACGUCGCAUGGAAAAUUGGAAAUUGGAAUUGAUUGCUUGAUGCAGUUUGUCUUUGUCCUCCUCCUCCUGUCUCUGUACUUUUUAUUUUAUUACUUUUCCGGAAGCAGAAGAGAUCCGGAGCGGAUAAGCAGUACUGGCGCCCUGCCCCGGCCACGCACGCUCUUACCAGACGACAGACGGGACAUGAUUCCACCUUCGUCUGAGUGCUGACAAACAACAUCCAACCUUUUUUUGCACAAAUCUUUUUGAUCUUUUCUGCUUCUGUGAUAGUAAAUUUGUUAACGAGCUCAGCAAAAACUCGAUGCGACGGUUCCUUCUCCGUCUGGUUUGGAAGCUUUUGCAUUUAUUGGAGUCCUCCCAAAGAGGAGGGAAUCCACUUCGUUCACGUCUGCAGGAAUUGAAGUUUUGCCAUCUACUUCCGAUGGCAAAGUACAUUAAUGAAUGCAAGCUAUUUUACCCCCCGCCCCACCAACAUUCGAUAAAUGUCCAUCUAGUCCUCCCGGCCAAAAGCUUUACAAUGCGGUCUCUGAAUUUUAUAGCUUCACCCGUUUUUUGUUUUCUCUCUGCCUCUUUCGUUUGAAGGAUGUAACUACAGGUUCUGGGUGCUAAGAGGCAUUUCUGAAGAUGUUCGUUUUCUUUAAGAAAAAUGAAAACUAUAAUUAAUCUUCCAUUUUAUCUUCCCUCUAUUUACCGAAAUAAGUUCUUCGUAAGUAGCGCUACUUUUUUUUUUUUUUUAUUAAACUAGAAAACCAUGCACGCAAAUUACGGCUUUCAUUCCGCUUCUUCCGGAAGCUGUUUUGCCUACCAAAAAAGAAAGGAAAAAAGAAAUAGAGGGAGAAUAUUCCACUUCUUCGUUACGUACUAGAAGACUAGUACUACCAGUAUUUACAGAUUGCUAUCUUUCAUGUCCACUUAUUCAACAAAAACUUUGACCAAUAGGUGCAAUAAAUUUGUCCUAUAAUUGUUAUAACUUCGGCACCAAGUUAAUUGCGUUUUUCUCACGGAUAUGACCAGGCAAUUCCAGUGGUCAAAUAAUCACUCAUUCAUUUGUGCGCGAUAUUUGAUCAUCGGAAUAAUUACUAUAACACUUUUUGUAACGUGACAUGUGUGAAAUAAAAAAAUAUAUUUACGAUACAAACAAACAAAAAUGUUUUUUUUAAUUAAAUUGCCUAUUCAAACAUAGGCAAGUACGGAUCAUAUCUACUCAUAUUUCCAAGCAAUUUGCUCCAUCACGUGCAAGGAAAUUUACAAGUGAUUCUAUUGUACUUUUUUGGGAUUUCACAUCUUCAACUUAAAUUCACAAUUAGACGGUGGAACGAGUUUUUUUAAACCCUUAAAUUGUGUUAGUUUUAAUUAUUUCAAAUUCGAAUCAUUAUUAUUAUUAAUAAAUAAAAAUUAUGGGAAUAGUUCCUAAAAGGACUAUAGAAUUUUCCUCUAUUUUAAAUUUAGAACUUUAGUAAUAUGCAUUUUCCGAGUUUUUCUGAACAGCUUAAAAUCGACUGUUAAUGUUAAGUUUUGAUGCAUGUCUUUUACAAUAUGAUUCUUGCUUGCACAAUUGAAAGUACUAUAGUAAUUUUUCACAAAAUAAUCAUACAAAAAAAUUAUUUAGCUAAAUAGCUGGAUUAAUUUUUUUCUUUUUGGUUUUCUAAACUAAGCUAUUGGAUUGCAUAGGACUAUAAUCGAAGUGAUAAGGUUGUACUGGGCAUCGAUUUGAACAUCAGCGAUGUUCAAGCAUUUUGGAUGGUAUUCAUGCUACCAUUUCUAAUGUUUGUUUUUAUUUUUUAAGAAUUCGCUCUUUUUUUUUUCUUUUCUUUCUUAGUACGUGUCCUAUCAUUUUUUUGGCUAGUUUUAAUAUUAAAAAAAUUGUUCAAAACCUUUCACAUAUUUCACUAAAUGAAUUUUUUUGGCCUUACUUUUAAAAUAUUAACUUUACAUUCUUUAUAAAUUCAAGUUAACAGUUUUUUUGUCACAAACUAAAUUUUAACCCAUUUCUUAAUUUGAAAAUCACUACAUGACCCAUAUGUAAUAAUAUUUUAUGUACAAAAAUGGUCAGAUUUCACUUUUUUAGUGGAAAAUGAAUUUUUGUCACUCAAAAAAGUGAAAGCUGAACUUUUUGUGUAUAAAAAGUGAUUAUGUGCAGGUCAUAUGGUGAUUUUAGGUUAAAAAGUGAUUGAAAAUAUAAGUUAGGACCAAAUUCUGCAAACUUAGAUUUAUAAGGGACGUAACAUUAAUAUUUUCAAAAUAAAUGACAAAAAAAUUCACUUGACAAAAUAUGAACUAUUUUUCCAACGCUCGUUAUGAUACACUUAACGGACUUAUCACACAAUUCAAGCGGCCAAAUAAGCAUCUAAUUGUACAUAUUUGUUUACACCCAGUAUUCGUUUAGUUCAUACAUAAAGGCUCUACUAAUAACACAUUUUUUCUCCUUGUUUAUUGUGAGGGAAAUGUUGUCAUCAUUCUUCUAUACAAGUUAUAUAACGACAAAGGCUCUUGACUUUUUUGACGAUGUAAAUUAGAUAAAAGUACCUUUAUUCUUCAUUACAUUCGUAGUCACUCUCCUUUUAUCAACUUAUAAAUUAAAGUAAAAUAUAAGAGGAUAGCCAAUAACAAUUUCUUACUCUAUCCAUCACACUUUGAUGGUGUUGAUAUUUUUUUUUCACACAGUUAAACAAAAAUUAGUUGAUUUUAUUGAAAUUGCAAAUCUGGCUUAUUAUUUUUCUAAAAUAUCCUUACAUUAAUAUUAAUUAUUUCAAAUAUUAAAAUUUAUAAUCUGACUAAUCAUUACGCCUUUACAUUAAUUAUAACAAUAGCACUAAGGGAAAGUUGUACCAUUCAAGGUGUGAAUCAAAAUCAAUUAUUGAAUAAGAUAGAUUAUAUUUACUAAUAAUAAAUUACUUAAAUAAAGACAUUUUAGAAAAGUUUAAAAUUAACUAUAUUUUUUAAUUGAAAAGUAACCUAUAAUUUAGCAUGGAUAAAAAAAAGAAAAUAUUAUUAUCAAAAUGGGGGUGAUGGAGUAAUCUAAUUUUGCAUAUUCUCUUUUACUUUCGAGAAAAAUAAAAUAACUAUUGAGCAUGCCCUCUUAAAAUCAAUGAUAACCAUUGAUCCGCUAGCAUCUAUGGGUGUGUUUGGAUUGCAUGUUUUUAGAUUUUUCUUAUAGAAAAAUUAUUGUAAUAAUUUGAUAUAUAUGAGACAAAAAAUGAUUAAAAAUAGAUUCACGGAGAACGUAGCAAAAAAAUUUUUUUUUUUUGGAAAUAUGCAAUCCAAGCAAAAUAUGAAAUAAUGAUUGGUCAACUUUGAGUUCUUUCCUAUUUAAGGACAUCUAGAGAUUGGCAAUAGAAAUAGUCCCUACGAAGUUUAUCGGACUUGGGAUACCAAGAACCAUGGAGAUCGAGAUGGUUGUAGCUAAUAAAUGCAAGCGCUACAAGAAGAUCAUCGAAAUGAUUAAAAGCCUAUUAUUGGAAAUAACGAAGAAGUCAAAUUUUGGAAUAUUGGUUGAUCACAAUUUCUAUUAAAUAACCUCACCUCUUUAGACUAGGGUUUAAACCUCACAUGCAGCGAAAAAAAUUUAAGAAUUGUGCUAUAAUACUUCCUGGAUCUAAUUGAGUCUGUAUACCCACUAAUCCCUGCCAUAAAAUGAGUAGGUUAUACAAAUAUAUCAUUAUUGACAUAAAAAAAAAAAGAGAUUCUAUUAAAUAACCAAUUAAGAAAAACCUUUGCCUAAUACCAAAAUGACGAUGACACACUGCUUCCACAGCAUUUUGAUAUCUAGAGCAUGUAGCACUUGUAGUAGCGAUGGUGACAAUAAUGGUAUUGUCGUUGAUUCAUAUUCCACAAAACCGUAAUUGACACGAUUAACGUAGUAGAAUAAUUUGCCACCAAUUUUUACCUACUGGGUUUUUUUUUUUUUGUCGUCUAGCUGACUUCUCCAUGUCCGUGGCGGCUGUUUUGGUAUUUAAAGCCUAAGCCGGGCAAUAUUCAGCCUCUUCGCUCUCUUGGACAGCGAUUCCAGAAGCCCGGGAACCACCGGUGUCAUUCAAAUCGCUGUCUGGAACAAAAAAGAGUCCGGAGGUCUGUCCUGAAGGGGCCUAAAUCCCCGUAUACUUUUACACCAGAGGGAGAGAAGGAGAGGAAACUCAGUGAGAGGCUUCUCCAGCAUCCUAGGAUCAAUAUAGGUAUCUUUAUUUUAUUCUUAUCACGUACCAUCUCCUCGCUGUAGGUGCUUGCAUGAUGAUUUGGUCUUGAACUUGGUUUGUACGUUAAUUUGGUCACUUUGAGCCUGCGGUACAAGACAAAGUUGGUCUCUUUUUCCUAUUCCAGAGUUCCACCCUCAAACAUCCUAAAGUUUUACUUUUAUUUUUAUUUUUUUAAAAUUUGAUUUUUGCUACUGAGUAGUGAGUAGGAGUGCUUUUUACCUGCUAUUUCAUUUUUCAGCCGGCGACGUUUCCUGUGUAAGUCUGGAGCACCUGGAAACUAAUCCUUGCGCUCUUUGUUGUUCCUUCUCAUCUCGUCUGCUAAAAAUUUUUGUCUUUUAUUUUGUUUUUGUGAAGUCACUAUUCAAGAUGGUACUAACAAAGUCAUAUAAUGAUGAUAUUGUUUAGGUUAGAUGUUUUGAGGCCUAAAGGCUGCUGUUAAAAUCUCAAUUCUGAUCAUGUUUUGGUUUGAGAAAUGUUUAGCUGGAUCAUUCCUUUCUAACUUCUUCUUUUUGAGUUUUUUCCGUUUCUUUUUCUUCUGGGUCUGCCCAAAAUGCUUUCAAAGUACUGCGCAUCAUCCCAGAUUCUAAAAUGGAAUUAGUAAUUGUAGUACCGAAACUGCAGCCUCCUUUACUUUGAAAAGAGGAAGAGAGGGGGGGGGGGCGGCCAAUUCUGAUUUCAUUUCUGCCUUUUGUAAUAAUUUAUAAUAAUAACCUUUUGGAUUCUUAUUCUUUUAGCUGAGUUCUCCAAGUAUUGUUUUAACAUGCUCAUCUUGUUUCCUUCUCCAGGAGAAUGAAAGGAUGAAUUCUUUGUGAGAUAAAAUCAUUGUAUGGCUAUGCUGUAUGUCGGUUUGGCAGAGGUCACAGCAAAGAUGUCUUCACCUAUUUGGAUCACAUCGCUUUCUUGUUCCGCUUCUGUGGCACAAUCCUCAGAGGAUUCCACAGUUUCAGCCUUUGUUCAAUGGCUAAGGUUCCUUUUCCUGUCUCCCUGUCCUCAGAGAGCUCUGUCAUCUUCCAUUGCCAUUCUGCUGUGGAUAGCUUUCCUUGUUUUUGCAAUACAAAAACUAUGGUCUAGAUUUAGUACCAAACAUGAAUUGAGUUCUAACCUCAGCAAGCCUCUCAUUGAGAGCAGCACACCACCUCUUAGAGCUAACCUUUGGUAUAAGUUGACUCUGAUUGCGACCGUUGUUUUAGCCUUAUCUUCCUUAAUGUUGUGCAUUCUGGCAUUCAAUGGAGGUAACCAGGGCUCAUGGAGGGUUGUCGACGGACUAUUUUGGUUGCUUCAGGCAUUAACCAAUGUAGUGAUCACAGUACUAAUUCUCCAUGAGAAGAGGUUCAAAGCUGUUACUCAUCCAUUAUCUCUUCGGGUUUACUGGAUUGCAAUCUUCAUUAUCCAAGUUUUGUUCGUCACUUCGGCGCUUAUCCGCAUAAUAUCUGCCCGUGAAACUGAUUCAGUCUUGAGACUAGAUGACAUUGUUUCAAUAACUGUAUUUCCUUUCUUGAUUAUUCUUCUGAUUGUUGCCCUCAAGGGGUCUACCGGUAUCCUAGUAAUUAGAUGUUCUGAAUCAAUAAUAAAUGGAGAGACCACAUUAUAUGAACCACUUCAGGAUAAAUCCUCCAAUGUGAGUGGGUUUGCUACAGCAUCUAUUGUAUCAAAAGUUUUUUGGCUCUGGGUUAAUUCUCUUUUGGUAAGAGGCUAUAAAUCCCCUCUAAAGCUUGAUGAUGUCCCAAUUCUCUCACCACAGCAUAGAGCUGAGCGCAUGUCAGAGCUGUUUCAACAGAAGUGGCCUAAACCUGAAGAAAAAUCAAAGCACCCUGUGAGAACUACAUUGUUUCGCUGCUUCUGGAAGGAAGUUACCUUCAUUGCCUUCCUUGCCAUUGUGAGGCUUUGCGUCAUGUAUGUGGGGCCUACACUGAUCGAUCGGUUUGUUGAUUAUACAUCUGGGAAGAGGACCUCAAUUUAUGAAGGAUACUACCUUGUAGUUGUUCUCUUGAUAUCCAAGUUUGUGGAAGUUCUGAGCUCACACCAGUUCAAUUUUAACUCCCAGAAACUUGGGAUGAUGAUACGCUCCACACUCAUUACUUCAUUGUACAAAAAGG